UACGUAGGUGGCAAGCGUUGUCCGGAUUUACUGGGUGUAAAGGGUGCGUAGGCGGUAUGGUAAGUCAGCGGUAAAAGCCCGGGGCUCAACCCCGGCGAGCCGUUGAAACUGCCGUGCUAGAGAGGAAGAGAAGUAGGCGGAAUGCGCAGUGUAGCGGUGAAAUGCAUAGAUAUCACGCAGAACUCCGAUUGCGAAGGCAGCAUACCGGCGCCCAACUGACGCUGAGGCACGAAAGCGUGGGUAUCGAACAGG
RNAcentral lists this ribosomal RNA (252 nucleotides) under uncultured Bacteroidales bacterium. RNAcentral's name for it is "partial 16S ribosomal RNA". It matches the Rfam family "Bacterial small subunit ribosomal RNA", at positions 524 to 776 of the family's 1533-position model. Lineage: Bacteria; Pseudomonadati; Bacteroidota; Bacteroidia; Bacteroidales. The record is from RNAcentral.